UAGGGAAUCUUCGGCAAUGGACGAAAGUCUGACCGAGCAACGCCGCGUGAGUGAAGAAGGUUUUCGGAUCGUAAAACUCUGUUGUUAGAGAAGAACAAGGAUGAGAGUAAAAUGUUCAUCCCUUGACGGUAUCUAACCAGAAAGCCACGGCUAACUACGUGCCAGCAGCCGCGGUAAUACGUAGGUGGCAAGCGUUGUCCGGAUUUAUUGGGCGUAAAGCGAGCGCAGGCGGUUUCUUAAGUCUGAUGUG
RNAcentral lists this ribosomal RNA (250 nucleotides) under uncultured bacterium. RNAcentral describes it as "partial 16S ribosomal RNA". It matches the Rfam family "Bacterial small subunit ribosomal RNA", at positions 355 to 596 of the family's 1533-position model. The record is from RNAcentral.